RNAcentral lists this ribosomal RNA (377 nucleotides) under uncultured organism. Its description in RNAcentral is "partial 16S ribosomal RNA". It matches the Rfam family "Bacterial small subunit ribosomal RNA", at positions 527 to 896 of the family's 1533-position model. The record is from RNAcentral.
GUAGGUGGCGAGCGUUGUCCGGAUUUACUGGGCGUAAAGCGCGCGCAGGCGGGCUGAUCAGUCCGGGGUGAAAUCUCACGGCUCAACUGUGAGGAGUCCCCGGAUACUGCCAGCCUUGAGGUACCUAGAGGAGAGUGGAAUUCCCGGUGUAGUGGUGGAAUGCGUAGAUAUCGGGAGGAACACCAGUGGCGAAAGCGGCUCUCUGGGGGUUACCUGACGCUGAGGCGCGAAAGCGUGGGGAGCGAACCGGGAUUAGAUACCCGGGUAGUCCACGCCGUAAACGAUGAGCACUAGCUGUCGGGGGGUUAUCGACCCCCCCCUCGGUAGCGUAGCUAACGCGUUAAGUGCUCCGCCUGGGGACUACGGCCGCAAGGCUA